UACGUAGGGUGCAAGCGUUGUCCGGAAUUAUUGGGCGUAAAGAGCUCGUAGGCGGUUUGUUGCGUCGGCUGUGAAAUCCCGAGGCUCAACCUCGGGUCUGCAGUCGAUACGAGCAAACUAGAGUGUUGCAGGGGAGACUGGAAUUCCUGGUGUAGCGGUGAAAUGCGCAGAUAUCAGGAGGAACACCGGUGGCGAAGGCGGAUCUCUGGGCCGUAACUGACGCUGAGGAGCGAAAGCAUGGGGAGCGAACAGG
Molecule: ribosomal RNA, 253 nt
Filed under: uncultured bacterium
Lineage: Bacteria
Description: partial 16S ribosomal RNA
Rfam family: Bacterial small subunit ribosomal RNA
Source: RNAcentral